Non-coding RNA from Cricetulus griseus (Chinese hamster), 431 nucleotides. Lineage: Eukaryota; Metazoa; Chordata; Mammalia; Rodentia; Cricetidae. The record is from RefSeq and is a predicted model, not a curated record.
CUUCAUCCAUCUGAUUUCCACGCUAUUGGUAGAUUCGUUCAGAAACACAGUGAUGUUUAAAGGUGCUACAGAUGGAGCUACAAGAGAAAGAGAGGAAGAUGAAGAGCUACAAGGAAAUACCACACAGGUACUCUCUUGGGAAGCUACUUAAGAAUGUGCUCAACCCAGUGAAAUGCUGACUGUAACAGGUCACAACCCGUUGUUGAGGGACAUUAUGGCAGGAACCUCCAGCAGAAACCAUGGAGGAAGGAACCACUGCUGGCUGAGACAGGAGGGUCUCUAAGAGUUCGAGGUCAAUCUGGACUACCUACGAGUUCAAGGCCAGCCAAGACCAUAUAGUGAGACAAUUCUCAAACAAACAACCUAACUAGGACACCCUCCAGACAACUGUGAAGUCAGAAUUUUAUUUAAUUAAAAAAUGACAUUUUCAA